This 19-nucleotide small RNA is filed under the name Arabidopsis thaliana (thale cress). RNAcentral's name for it is "ATSL049340". The record is from RNAcentral. Lineage: Eukaryota; Viridiplantae; Streptophyta; Magnoliopsida; Brassicales; Brassicaceae.
AAAAAAACAACAAAAAUCU